AUGCUCCAAGAAUCAGUUUCUUUUUGCCUUUCCAUAAAUACAUCCACAUCAUUGGCUCUGAUAUUUUGUCAUAUGCAAGCAGGGGCAAAGGACACAGAAGCAGCAAUGGAUGAAGGGAUGGAGCUCAAGGGGUGCGUUUGCCGGAUCAAGAGCUGCGCCGGCCAACUUCUGUCGAUGGAGGAGGAUCUGGUGACUGAUCUGGACGAUGACUCAUGGGACUUGGUCUGGAGGGACCUCCGGCUGAAGGCGACCUUCUUGUACAUUGAUCUGAGCCGUGUGAUCUCCCGAAGUGAGAACGAUGAGCGCAGGAAGGCGCUCACCCUUCUCGCCAACAAAUUCUUCUACUGCACGGAUGAGCUGGGCGAUGCGGUGACGAGCCGAAGCGUCCCCGUCGUGAAGAUGUGCUACAACGACACCGCUCAGGCUCUCCGUGAGUUGCUCGCGGCCCUUGCGCCGCCGCAGUAG
RNAcentral lists this ribosomal RNA (465 nucleotides) under Triticum aestivum (bread wheat). Its description in RNAcentral is "partial small subunit ribosomal RNA". The record is from RNAcentral. Lineage: Eukaryota; Viridiplantae; Streptophyta; Magnoliopsida; Poales; Poaceae.